Molecule: ribosomal RNA, 488 nt
Filed under: uncultured Sphingobacteriales bacterium
Lineage: Bacteria; Pseudomonadati; Bacteroidota; Sphingobacteriia; Sphingobacteriales
Description: bacterial SSU rRNA
Rfam family: Bacterial small subunit ribosomal RNA
Source: RNAcentral
GCUCAGAAACUUAAGGAAUUGACGGGGGCCCGCACAAGCGGUGGAGCAUGUGGUUUAAUUCGAUGAUACGCGAGGAACCUUACCUGGGCUCAAAUGUAUGUUGACGUAUUCUGAAAGGGAUACUUCUUCGGACAAUAUACAAGGUGCUGCAUGGUUGUCGUCAGCUCGUGCCGUGAGGUGUCGGGUUAAGUCCCAUAACGAGCGCAACCCCUAUCAUUAGUUGCCAUCAGGUCAAGCUGGGGACUCUAAUGAAACUGCCUACGCAAGUAGUGAGGAAGGUGGGGAUGACGUCAAAUCAGCACGGCCCUUACGUCCAGGGCUACACACGUGCUACAAUGGCCGGUACAGAGCGCAGCGAGGCCGCGAGGCGGAGCGAAUCGCUUAAAGCCGGUCCCAGUACGGAUUGGAGUCUGCAACCCGACUCCAUGAAGUUGGAAUCGCUAGUAAUCGCGCAUCAGCAUGGCGCGGUGAAUACGUUCCCGGGCCUU